This 468-nucleotide ribosomal RNA is filed under the name uncultured bacterium. Its description in RNAcentral is "partial 16S ribosomal RNA". It matches the Rfam family "Bacterial small subunit ribosomal RNA", at positions 28 to 507 of the family's 1533-position model. The record is from RNAcentral.
GACGAACGCUGGCGGCGUGCUUAACACAUGCAAGUCGAACGGAAAGGCCCUGCUUUUGUGGGGUGCUCGAGUGGCGAACGGGUGAGUAACACGUGAGUAACCUGCCCUUGACUUUGGGAUAACUUCAGGAAACUGGGGCUAAUACCGGAUAGGAGCUCCUGCUGCAUGGUGGGGGUUGGAAAGUUUCGGCGGUUGGGGAUGGACUCGCGGCUUAUCAGCUUGUUGGUUGGGUAGUGGAUUACCAAGGCUUUGACGGGUAGCCGGCCUGAGAGGGUGACCGGCCACAUUGGAACUGAGCUACGGCCCGGACUCCUACGGGAGGCAGCAGUGGGGAAUAUUGCACGAUGGGCGGAAGCCUGAUGCAGCAACGCCGCGUGCGGGAUGACGGCCUUCGGGUUGUAACCCGCUUUCGCCUGUGACGAAGCGUGAGUGACGGUAAUGGGUAAAGAAGCACCGGCUAACUACGUG